CCUACGGGUGGCAGCAGUCGAGAAUUAUUCACAAUGGGGGAAACCCUGAUGCUGCGACGCCGCGUGGGGGAAUGAAGGUCUUCGGAUUGUAAACCCCUGUCAUGUGGGAGCAAAUUAAAAAGAUAGUACCACAAGAGGAAGAGACGGCUAACUCUGUGCCAGCAGCCGCGGUAAUACAGAGGUCUCAAGCGUUGUUCGGAAUCACUGGGCGUAAAGGGUGCGUAGGCUGUUUCGUAAGUCGUGUGUGAAAGGCGCGGGCUCAACCCGCGGACGGCACAUGAUACUGGGAGACUAGAGUAAUGGAGGGGGAACCGGAAUUCUCGGUGUAGCAGUGAAAUGCUUAGAUAUCGAGAGGAACACUCGUGGCGAAGGCGGGUUCCUGGACAUUAACUGACGCUGAGGCACGAAGGCCAGGGGAGCGAAAGGGAUUAGAUACCCCAGUAGUC
RNAcentral lists this ribosomal RNA (446 nucleotides) under uncultured bacterium. Its description in RNAcentral is "partial 16S ribosomal RNA". It matches the Rfam family "Bacterial small subunit ribosomal RNA", at positions 338 to 795 of the family's 1533-position model. The record is from RNAcentral.